RNAcentral lists this long non-coding RNA (3202 nucleotides) under Citrus sinensis (sweet orange). RNAcentral's name for it is "long non-coding RNA (CSIN_LNC000800)". Lineage: Eukaryota; Viridiplantae; Streptophyta; Magnoliopsida; Sapindales; Rutaceae. The record is from RNAcentral.
AGUCGUACACAUGUGUGUGUGUGUGUGUGUGUAGUAACUUGCAAAAUGACAAAGACAAUUGCAAAUGAUGCGGAAAUUAUUAAUGCUAACGUUAUUUGAUUUGUUACCUUUCUUGGAGACGUUGGGGAUAUGUUUUGUAGGUCAAAGGAGUCCACUUGCAGUUGACGAUGAGAAUCCAGAUGAAAGUAAAACAAGACUCACAUAGAAAAGCAAGAAACCAAGCAAAUCCAUGAUUCUUCAACGUUGAGAGCCGAUAGAAGAGCAGACAUAGAAGAAGGAACAAGAUGAUAACAUCUAAAGCCCUAUGAUAUGUGUUUUUAUGAAAAACUUUUUCGUAUAGAGGGAGACAUGACGACUUUGUAUUGGCCAUGAGCUUGAAAAACAAGUACUCGUUUUUUUUAUUUUUGGUGUUUCGGCAUUAAUAGAUGUGGGUUUUUAAAGGUAUUUAGUAGGUUUUAUAGUUGCAAGAAUGACCAUUUGUUGCAUAUGUGGUGAUGAAGCGCAUAUCCUUAGCCGAAAAGAAUCAAAGGAUGGUAUAAGAGCUUGUGAGAAUAUGGUAAAUUUGUGGUGUGUGUGUGUGUGUGUAUUUCAGAAUAAAUUUUUAGGACCUCUCAUUCAUUGAAAACACUAAUUAGUUUCCCUUUAAGUUUUAAAAGACAGUAAAAUUCUAAAUUCUUCGUCGACGUACAAAUUGACUGGCCAUCCGACAUCUACCAUAAACUGCUGCACUAUAAUCAAUUUGCACUCUUAUAUAUGUGGUGACAAUGUUUACAAUUACACGUGAUUUAUUUUGAAGAAUUCAUAUAUAAAAAAUAAUAUUCUUUCACAUGUCUAAUGUAUUCACAUUUUUUUUUAAAUAAAUAACUUCUCACUCUCAAAUGCUAUAUUAAUAUAUUCAAGUAAUUAUAGUACAAAUUUUUUUAUGCAGACAGCCUAUGUAUAAAUACUAUGAUUGCAGGCAAUAGAUUUGUAUCGCACCUGUAAAUCAUAAUUUGUCAGAGCUUGUUACCUUAUAUUAUUAUGUAAGUUACAUAACUUUUUCACAACCAUUUGAUGAAAAUUAAACGGCGGUUGUGGAAAUAUAAGAUAAUAAAAUCAUGUUAUUUCCCCAACUGUUAGAUUUUCAUCAAACGGUUGUGGAAGAAUUAUGUACCUUACAUAAUAAUGUAAGGUAACUAUAGCCUAAUUUGCCAUUCAUUCAAUAAAGUCCUAUUUGAUAUUAUAGUUUAGACAGUUGUAGAGUACACUAAUGGAGUAUGUGAUUCAUUUAAACCAACAAUUAAUUAAUUAAUCUAGACAAUGAAAUCAAGAGGGCGAGUAAGAGUUGAGUUGGUGGAGUGUUUCGAGAUGAGCAAUCAAAGCAAAUUCAAUAAUGAAACUUAAAAAUUUCUGAGAAUUUUUUAUUUCAUUUUCAGGCUAACGUACAUUCUAGAGAAACUGUGGAUACCACAAAUUUGAAGAUAAAGUGCGAAGUGCUGUAGGGCCAAGUUUCAGCUGAACAAGAACGUAAGACAGAUUACAGACUAAUCAUAAUCUUUACCCUCACUUUUUGCAGAAAGAGUGACGCAUGGGAUGAUGCCUGAGUUUCUGGACGAUUUGAUACAAACAACAUCAAAUCUCGAGAAAAUUUAGAUUUUUGCCUUUCCCUGCAGUGCUGCAAUGAUAUGAUACGUAGCUGUGUCGCUUGUGCACAAGUGCCACCGUUCACAAGAACGAGAUCAUCUCAAAAUUUUAAAUCUUUUGAUAUGAUUUGAUCAAAGCUAACCCCACCACUACUGAUCCAUGUGAUCUCUACUGUUUCAGCUGGUUUGAUUGGCAAAUGCCAAUGUAUUGCUGCUGCUGCUUCUUAAGUAUUUCAUUUCUUAAAAUGAUUAUCAACAACAUUCUGUUUUGCUUACAUAUUCUUGAAUUAAUUUAAAAUGAAAUGUGAAUCACUGAGAGUUAAUUUGCUCAGAUAUAAUUAAUGUGUUCUUUUAUAAAAUAAAUAAAAGCAUAUACAGUUUAUUUAUCAAAUUCUUGUAAACUAAAACACGUCUCUCUGAUAAGCCCAUUGUAGAUUUCAGAAGCUAGAAGGAGCAUUUCCUUAUUUGAGGAUAAAAUUUUAUCGAUCCGUUUUCUAUAUUUGUCAGUGGCCAAGAAAUCGCAAGUCUUUUGACUCAAAUUUGGAAAAGUCUUGGCACGUGAUGCAACUUGGAGAUGAUUUUGACCCAUUUGGUAUUGUGUGUGUGUGUGUGUGUGUGUGUGUAUUGACGUGCAAAAUGACAAAGACAAUUGCAAAUGAUGCGGAUAUUAUUAAUGCUAACGUUAUUUAAUUUGUUGCCUUUCUUGGAGACUUGGGGAUAUGUUUUGUAGGUUAAAAGAGUCCACUUGCAGUUGACGAUGAGAAUCCAGAUGAAAGUAAAACAAGACUCACAUAGAAAAGCAAGAAACCAAGCAAAUGCAAAUCCAUGAUACUUGAAAGAUAAGAGGCGACAUAAGAGAAGACAGAGAAGAAGGAUCAAGACGGUGACACCAAAAACUCUAUGAGUAGUAUUCUUAUGAAAAACUUUUUCGAAUAGAUCAGAUGAUUCCUUUGUCUCUGGAUUGGCCAUGAGCUCGUUGUAAGAUUAAGAAAUUUAUUUUGGUGUUCUAGUAGUGUCUUUCUCUGUAUGAGGUGUCUAGGCGUCAACAGGUGUGGUUAUUUAUUAAGUGGGUUUGUUUUGCAUCUGAAGUUAACGUUGUAGAUUCACCACUUGAUGAAGGUACAGAGAUUAAUUCCAUCAAUAAUGCUACUUUCAGUUCUCCGAGAAUAUCGUUUGAGAAGCUAUAGACUCAAGUUUGAAGCCAGCAGCACCAUGCUAAAGUACGAUCAUAGCCUUUGAUUAACACUAAAGAUUGCCCUAUAUAUCUACAUAUGACCAUACGAUGUAACGUUGGGGCAAGCGAUCAGCUAAUGACAUAAGGCAUGACAUCUCAGUUUCUGGGCGACCUGAUAGAAACAACACAACUUCUUUUGUUUGAUCCAUCCCUUCCAGCAUAUUUAAUUUUUUCUGCUUUUGUCAUUUUGCGGGCAAUGAUAGACUAAAUUUAAAUAAUUUAGGGUGUGUUUGUCACACUGUAUUAUAUUAUAUUAUAUUAUAUUAUUUUAAUACUGAUGUGUUGUAUUAUAUUGUAUUGCAUUGACACUGUAUUAUAAUAAUAUUAUAUAAUGUUUAGUGUUGCA